Chlorocebus sabaeus (green monkey) is the source of this 3377-nucleotide non-coding RNA. The record is from RefSeq and is a predicted model, not a curated record. Lineage: Eukaryota; Metazoa; Chordata; Mammalia; Primates; Cercopithecidae.
AUGAGUCUACAUCAGGGCUUACAGGAAAAGAGUGCUGUGAUCAAUUAGUAAUGUCUGCCAUGGGUACAGGGAGAGUAGUCUAUACUAAGGCAUUUCCUGACCCUAACACUAAAAAUAGGCAGGAUUUCAGGAGACCCUUGUGACUGUGUGACUGUGGUUGCCUGACACAUGACCAGGGACAGCAAGUCAUUGAGCUACUGCUUGCCUCCUUUUACCUGUUUGCAAGACAGAGAUGCCAAAAUGGGACUCACUGCAUUUUUAGGAGCUAGAACUGGACAGCCCAGCCUUCCUGUUUUAACCCAGCCUGCUCUGGGCUGGAGUGAGGACCAAGUGUGAGAUGCCCCUAUAUGGAAACACAUAGCACUCAGCAGAUGCCUGGUGGGCGGCUGACCAGGAGCCGGAGCUGCGGUGAGAGCACAGGAGAACUGGGCUUCCAGCUGCUCUGCCAUUGGCCCUGCUUGAGCCUCAGCUUCUCCAUAUGCUCAGUGGGUGCUUGGAGGGUGGAAGUGUUUUGGAGCCUCUGGAAUCUACCGUUUUGUGAUGCCUGCAAUGCUGAGACCUGGGGUCGGGGGAGCAGAAUGAAAGCCCUGGAGGGGAGAUGGUGGAAAGGAACAAUCCAGUGCCAAUGUGAAAGCUAGGUGGGCAGAGGGAGUCGAGAGGAAGCGGGGAAGAGCGAAGAGAGGCCACCGCUGCUGGAUCUUCCUGAGGGCUGUCCAGCUCCAUCAGGGGGCACUUCCCUGUGCACCCCACAUCCCAGGUGCUAUCCCCAAGCAAGGGAGGGAGGGAAGAGAGGGUGGGCAAUGUGGGGGCCCCAGGUAGUGUUGGAGGGGCUGAGACCCUGACAGGUAGGCACCUGGGUUAUGAAGAGGCCCUGGCAACAGUGACCCAGCCCUAAGGCUGGAACCCAGGAGCAGCACGGACUGGGGUAGAUGACGCAGGCCAAGCCCCAGUACUCAGGGAGGAGCAUGGAGAAGACCAGGACAGCUCCCAGGGAGGCCGAGGUGAACCUGAGACCCUGCAAACAGACUGACCAUGUCUCCCAGGUGGACGCAGCGGGUUCUCCACGAGCGUGACUUGGGGAUUCGGAGCACUGAGACUGUGCUACCCACCCCCCUUAAAAAUCCCUCAUGGCUCCCAGUUGCCCUGAAGGGGAAGCCCAAACUCCUCAGAGGCAGCACAUGCUGGUGGGUGAGAGUUGGGAGCCUGAGUCCAAGUUCCAGCCUGGCCACUAUUCAGCUGUGUGACCACUGGCAACUCGCCUAACCUCUCUGGGCCUCAUGGGCUCGUUGGAGGAUGUGGUGAGAGAGUGACUGAGAUGAGCUUAGCACAGUACUGGCCAUACUGUCACUGUUCAAUGCCAGAUGGCUGUGCUUACCACCACUGCUGGCUGUAACUGGCAGAGCAUGGCACAGAAGGUCCUGGCCACCUGAACCCCAGUCAGCCUCUCCUUUCUCGUCGGUUCCAGCUCCACCCGCCGAUGCCGCCCCAACAGCAAGCUGCUCUCUGUUUCCUCAGCACUCCCUGGUCUUUUUCAUGCCACUAGGCCUUUGCUCCUGCUGUCCCCUCACCAGGAAUGCCCUUUCCCCUCCAGGCCACUUCCAGACUCUGUCAGUUGUCGAGUGCCCUGGGAACCUCCUCACCCCCAAGGAGUGACUCAGUGUCCUGUGUGCAUUCAGAGCUUGGUGUGUGGCAUCGGGUCUGUCUCCCGUCUGAUUCUGGGACUUCUCAGGCGCGCAUGUCGUGGCCUAUUCAUUUUCUUGUCCUUGGUGCCCAGCACCGCGCCUGUCACACGGUGGGUGCGCCAUAGAGUGGGCUGAAGGAUGGAAGCAAUGAAUCCCCAACACGGUGGGCGUGCUCGGCUCAGGGAUGGCAGAUCGCGCUCCACUCCGGAUCUGUGUUCUCCUUCCUUAGCCUCAAGGAGAAACGGGACGCCUCAGCACUUCUCCGACGAUGCCGGCGAGAGACGCUUCGCUUCGAUGAAAUGCUCGGCCUCCAAGUUAGUGCUCUGCAUGAGGGAUGGGGACAUAGAGGCCCCACGAAGGAUCAGCAAGGCCCCUAAUGACCCCUUCCUCUCCUUGCCCCUCCCCUGCCUCUUAUUCCUGCUCUGAGCAGGCAUUGAGCUCCUGGGGUUGGGUGAGGAAGGGAGAGCAAGUGGCAGGGGGUGGGUGGACAGCAGGUGCUCCGUCCUACAGGCGCUGCUGGGAUCAGGAUGCCACCCUUGCCACCCUGGGAGUUGUCUGCAGCACAGGGGCAGCUGGAGGUGGGGGUAGUGUCCUCCGUGGCCAGCCCUGGCCAGGCCCUUGUCCCCACUACCCUCCCUGGCUGCCAGACCUCUCACUGCGAGGCAGCCAGGUCUCCCUGUCCUGGCAGGGGGAAGGCUGUUGCUCCCAUCUGGCUCUGCUCCUGGCCAUCUGCCCUCUGACCCCACCUGCCGCAGGCUGAGGGCCCCUGCAGGAUGCUCGAGUUAAACAGAGUCCGAGGGAGUAGUCAGUCCAGCCCUCCCAUUUGGCAGAUGAGAAAACUGAGGCCCAGGGAGGCAAAGAGGCUUGUCAGAGGUCACACCAGGAACCCAGCAUUUUGUCUAUGGCUCGAUGUCCUCUCAGGACAGGAGAAGACCUUGGCUUUGAGCUUGAGGGAAUAGCAAAACUUGGACCUUGAAGACAGGAAAUUGCCAUGACUGAUUUGUGGGCAGGCGGUGUGACCUUGGGUGUGUUACCUAACCUCGCUGAGCUGCGUGAUGCUGGUGAGGAUUCGGUGAGAUGACAACUGGUCAGUGCCUGGCAGGACUCCUGGCACGUCCCUGACGCUCCAUCAACGGGAGCUUUUGAUAUGAUUAGGAAGCAGGGGAGUCGCGCUGAGACACUGCUUAGCGCCCAUGCCAGGGAGGAAGCAAGACAGCAGGAGCGAGGAAAGAACCCCAGGCUGUGAUGAGGAAGCCUCCUACUUUUGCCUGAAGUGAGAAGUAACACCUGGCAAGUUUGGUAUCUCAAGGCACCACCCAUUCCUUCUUAAUCCACAAGAACUCCCUGAGGGUGAGGAACCUGGGAGGUCACCACAGCCUGCAAAUUCGAGCCUGGAUAUAGUGAGUGUCUGGAGUGGACGGACUUUCUGCAGGUGUGUGCACAUUGUCGGCCAAAUCUCAGCCUCGAACUGUGUCCUGAGCUUAGGACUCCUCCUGGCUCUCUUCUGGGAACAUUGUGGCUCAGAGAGGUUAAGUGAGUUGCCCAAGGUCACUCAGGUAGAAAGUGGCAGGGCCAAGACUAGACCCCAGGGCCAUCUUGCUCCAAAGUUCUUAACCACUAGACUUUCUGGCUCUCACCCUGUACGUGGGUUGCAGAUAUUUGGUUUUGUUAUUUUAUUUUAUUUUUAUUUUUAUU